GAUACAAGGGAUUUUGAGUUUUUGCUUGUAACGUUUGCCCACUCGUCUUAUUCAAAAUUUUUUGAAAUUAUUAUUUAUUUUAUUUGUGACUUACUUUAUUAUCUAUAAUACUUUAAGUACAACUUUUUGUUUUUUAUAUUUAUAAAAGAAUUUGAAUAAGACGAGUGGUCAAACGUUACAAAUAAAAACUCAAAAUCCCUUGUAUU
Molecule: microRNA precursor, 206 nt
Organism: Oryza sativa Indica Group (long-grained rice)
Lineage: Eukaryota; Viridiplantae; Streptophyta; Magnoliopsida; Poales; Poaceae
Rfam family: MIR812 microRNA precursor family
Source: Rfam